Molecule: non-coding RNA, 96 nt
Submitted as: unclassified sequences
Source: Rfam
ACCCUGUAUCUUGAGCAGGAUUUAAUUCCUCUCCAACCUGCCUACUCCGGCAAGGUGGAAAAACGAUACGGUUAAUCAACAAUUAAAGGAGAGAAA